RNAcentral lists this long non-coding RNA (377 nucleotides) under Haliotis rufescens (red abalone). RNAcentral's name for it is "uncharacterized LOC125383482". Lineage: Eukaryota; Metazoa; Mollusca; Gastropoda; Lepetellida; Haliotidae. The record is from RNAcentral.
CUGCUGAAAAGUUACGCCUGUUGCCUCGUGAAGUGACGUCAAAAUGACGUCACAUUGUCGCGGAAGAUUUGUUUUCACCAGCCAUCUUAGUUCAAGCACACUCUGGAUAUAUUACAACCAAGUGAUUGUGCAGCAACGGGAACUGGACAGAUGAUCUGUGAAUUCGGAUAAGCAAGGGGGAAAAUGUUACACGACCAUUCCAGGAGAUAAAAUCAAGAAUGUUGAAUCAUUGAGGAACACACCAAAUAAACCCUGGGCUGUGAAUUAUGUUAACGGAAGUGGAAGUGAACACCAAAGAAAGAAGAUUCUGGCAUUCAAUAAUUUCGAAUAGUGUAUAAAUUUUCUAUAAUCUAAAAAUAAUAAAAUGUCAACGCAAA